RNAcentral lists this small nuclear RNA (23 nucleotides) under Arabidopsis thaliana (thale cress). RNAcentral describes it as "snRNA_10972". Lineage: Eukaryota; Viridiplantae; Streptophyta; Magnoliopsida; Brassicales; Brassicaceae. The record is from RNAcentral.
GCGACCAGAAAAAUAGAGGUUUA